Molecule: ribosomal RNA, 253 nt
Filed under: uncultured bacterium
Lineage: Bacteria
Description: partial 16S ribosomal RNA
Rfam family: Bacterial small subunit ribosomal RNA
Source: RNAcentral
UACGUAGGGACCAAGCGUUGUCCGGAAUCAUUGGGCGUAAAGCGCGCGUAGGUGGCCAUUUAAGUCCGCUGUGAAAGUCAGAGGCUCAACCUUUGAAAGCCGGUGGAUACUGGAUGGCUAGAGUACGGAAGAGGCGAGUGGAAUUCCUGGUGUAGCGGUGGAAUGCGCAGAUAUCAGGAGGAACACCAAUAGCGAAGGCAGCUCGCUGGGACGUUACUGACGCUGAGACGCGAAAGCGUGGGGAGCGAACAGG